Molecule: unclassified non-coding RNA, 206 nt
Filed under: Hevea brasiliensis (rubber tree)
Lineage: Eukaryota; Viridiplantae; Streptophyta; Magnoliopsida; Malpighiales; Euphorbiaceae
Source: RNAcentral
GUUACACACCAGAUUAAUAGUUAUUGACCAGGAAUCGAGAUUGAAGUAGCAGCAGAAUAAAAUUUCCAAUUGGUAAACCACACUAACAGAGUCAAAAUCAAGCCAUCAAAAUGACAAAAUAGAUUCAAACUUGAAUAGUCAAUAGUCAAUAGUCAAUACCUUUGCCCUCUCUUUUGGGGGCAGGGGGUUAGGAAACUGAAGUAGCA